AUUGAACGCUGGCGGCAGGCCUAACACAUGCAAGUCGAGCGGAUGAAGGGAGCUUGCUCCUGGUUUCAGCGUCGGACGGGUGAGUAAUGCCUAGGAAUCUGCCUGGUAGUGGUUGAUAACGUCUUGAAACGGGCGCUAAUACCGCAUACUUCCUGAGGGAGAAAGUGGGGGAUCUUCGGACCUCACGCUAUCAGAUGAGCCUAGGUCGGAUUAGCUAGUUGGUGGGGUAAAGGCCUACCAAGGCGACGAUCCGUAACUGGUCUGAGAGGAUGAUCAGUCACACUGGAACUGAGACACGGUACAGGAUCCUACGGGCGGCAGCAGUGGCGAAGAUUGGAAAAAGGGCGAAAGACUGAUCCAGCGAUGCAGGGUGGAUGAAGAAGGUCUGCGGAUUGUAAAGCACUCUAAGGUGGGAAGAAGGGCAGUACGUUAAUACCUUGCUGAUUUGACGUUACCAAUAGAAUAAGAACCGGCUAACUUCGU
RNAcentral lists this ribosomal RNA (483 nucleotides) under uncultured bacterium. Its description in RNAcentral is "partial 16S ribosomal RNA". It matches the Rfam family "Bacterial small subunit ribosomal RNA", at positions 30 to 506 of the family's 1533-position model. The record is from RNAcentral.